Molecule: long non-coding RNA, 403 nt
Organism: Myotis davidii
Lineage: Eukaryota; Metazoa; Chordata; Mammalia; Chiroptera; Vespertilionidae
Exons: 3
Source: RefSeq, a predicted model, not a curated record
AGGACUCUGGUCGGAGGUAAUUAUGUCACUGCGCUUUCUCGCCGUGACAGCCGAAUAAACACAAUCUCCAAUAAACAUCUCUAAUGAGGGAGGAGGCCCGAGGAUGGCUGGCUUUGAUUUAUGGCUAGAGGAGAAGGUCCACUUCCCACAGCGAAGUGGGCAACCUGCUCGCUCCUCAGUCCAGAGAAAGCAACUCGAGGAGGAGAGGACCCGGAUUCAGGACUUCAUCACAUGUUCACAGCAAGCUACAAGUAGAAUGGGGAAUGUAUCAAUCCAAAAGCAAUGAAAGGAAGAGAUAAUAGACUGUGGUGAACAACCAGCAGUAUCCACAACAAUGCAUAAUGCAGACAAGAGACUGUUAUAAUAAUCCAGCUCAGACAUCUAUGGAAACCAGACCCGCCUU